UCUGGCUCAGCUCUGCUUGAUCACAUUGGCCCUGUGUGCCUGGCAUAUUUUCAGGGAGAGAGAGGCAGGCUCUCCUAAUGCAGGACAGCAGUGCCGAAGAUGGCCUCUCUGUUCGUAGGAGUGUCACAAAU
RNAcentral lists this small nucleolar RNA (131 nucleotides) under Carlito syrichta (Philippine tarsier). RNAcentral's name for it is "Small nucleolar RNA SNORA64/SNORA10 family (ENSTSYG00000029783.1)". It matches the Rfam family "Small nucleolar RNA SNORA64/SNORA10 family". Rfam says of the family: This family belongs to the H/ACA class of small nucleolar RNAs (snoRNAs) which act as guides in the the modification of uridines to pseudouridines. This family includes the human snoRNAs U64 and ACA10 and mouse MBI-29. Lineage: Eukaryota; Metazoa; Chordata; Mammalia; Primates; Tarsiidae. The record is from Rfam by way of RNAcentral.